CAGAAAAGGAAGGAGAGGAAGGGAUGAUUACUCUGAAGUGGGCUGUUGUACUCCGAGUUUUAAAUGAACCUAUAUAUUAUCUUAAAACUACUGAACCAGUGCAAAACUGCAACAUUAGUAUUCCCUGAAUGGACCUGAUAAUUCUUUUUGACUAAUAUCCUUGUUUAAUGUCAGGGGAUCAUUUAACUCUGCCCCCCAUCAUUAAUUAAAGGACAAUUUGAAGAGCAAGGACACAGGAAGAAUUUCCAUACACUUAAAAAGAUAACACCUGCAAACACGAAAAUAAUUAUACGCAAGGGUAGUCACUGCAACAUGAUUUUUAAAAGCAAAAGACUGAAAACGAUCCCCAGUCCACCAAUCAAGAUUGCUUGAACCCAUGAUGCUGAUGGCAGAAGGAAUGAGGUCUAUUUCUGCAUCCUGCCGGGGGUCGUCUCCAGGAAUAGAGCGAGAGCAAGACUGUGAAAAGCUGAAUAGAGUUACUGUGUAUUCCAAAAAGAUGCGGAGUGAGUGUGCCAGAAGGUGCAGGAAACAUUUACCUCGCUGGAAGGUAGAGAAGCAACAAGAAGGCUGGAGAGAUUUUAUCGGUGGAAUUCAAGAGCACCAUGUAGAGGCU
This 613-nucleotide long non-coding RNA is filed under the name Fukomys damarensis (Damara mole-rat). RNAcentral describes it as "lncRNA (ENSFDAG00000033514.1)". The record is from RNAcentral. Lineage: Eukaryota; Metazoa; Chordata; Mammalia; Rodentia; Bathyergidae.